RNAcentral lists this ribosomal RNA (462 nucleotides) under uncultured bacterium. RNAcentral's name for it is "partial 16S ribosomal RNA". It matches the Rfam family "Bacterial small subunit ribosomal RNA", at positions 28 to 507 of the family's 1533-position model. The record is from RNAcentral.
GACGAACGCUGGCGGCGUGCUUAACACAUGCAAGUCGAACGGAAAGGCCCUUCGGGGUACUCGAGUGGCGAACGGGUGCGUAACACGUGGGUGAUCUUCCCUUCACUUUGGGAUAAGCCUGGCUACCUGGGUCUAAUACCGAAUAUGAUCAUCGGCUUCUUGUUCGUUGGUGGAAAGCUUUUGCGGUGUGGGAUGGGCCCGCGGCCUAUCAGCUUGUUGGUGGGGUAAUGGCCUACCAAGGCGACGACGGGUAGCCGGCCUGAGAGGGUGACCGGCCACACUGGGACUGAGAUACGGCCCAGACUCCUACGGGAGGCAGCAGUGGGGAAUAUUGCACAAUGGGCGGAAGCCUGAUGCAGCGACGCCGCGUGAGGGAUGACGGCCUUCGGGUUGUAAACCGCUUUCAGCACAGACGAAGCGCAAGUGACGGUAUGUGCAGAAGAAGGACCGGCCAACUACGUG